CCUACGGGGCGCAGCAGUGAGGAAUAUUGGUCAAUGGACGAGAGUCUGAACCAGCCAAGUAGCGUGAAGGAUGAAUGCCCUAUGGGUUGUAAACUUCUUUUAUAUGGGAAUAAAAUGUUCCACGUGUGGGAUUUUGUAUGGACAAUAUGAAUAAGGAUCGGCGAAUUCCGUGCCAGCAGCCGCGGUAAUACGGAGGAUCCGAGCGUUAUCCGGAUUUAUUGGGUUUAAAGGGAGCGUAGGUGGAUUGUUAAGUCAGUUGUGAAAGUUUGCGGCUCAACCGUAAAAUUGCAGUUGAAACUGGCAGUCUUGAGUACAGUAGAGGUGGGCGGAAUUCGUGGUGUAGCGGUGAAAUGCUUAGAUAUCACGAAGAACUCCGAUUGCGAAGGCAGUUCACUGGACUGCAACUGACACUGAGGCUCGAAAGUGUGGGUAUCAAACAGGAUUAGAUACCCUUGUAGUC
RNAcentral lists this ribosomal RNA (460 nucleotides) under uncultured bacterium. Its description in RNAcentral is "partial 16S ribosomal RNA". It matches the Rfam family "Bacterial small subunit ribosomal RNA", at positions 338 to 795 of the family's 1533-position model. The record is from RNAcentral.